UACGGAGGGUGCGAGCGUUAAUCGGAAUUACUGGGCGUAAAGCGCACGCAGGCGGUUUGUUAAGCUAGAUGUGAAAGCCCCGGGCUCAACCUGGGAUGGUCAUUUAGAACUGGCAGACUAGAGUCUUGGAGAGGGGAGUGGAAUUCCAGGUGUAGCGGUGAAAUGCGUAGAUAUCUGGAGGAACAUCAGUGGCGAAGGCGAUUCCCUGGCCAAAGACUGACGCUCAUGUGCGAAAGUGUGGGUAGCGAACAGG
Molecule: ribosomal RNA, 253 nt
Filed under: uncultured bacterium
Lineage: Bacteria
Description: partial 16S ribosomal RNA
Rfam family: Bacterial small subunit ribosomal RNA
Source: RNAcentral